RNAcentral lists this ribosomal RNA (425 nucleotides) under uncultured eukaryote. RNAcentral's name for it is "SSU rRNA". It matches the Rfam family "Eukaryotic small subunit ribosomal RNA", at positions 567 to 990 of the family's 1831-position model. The record is from RNAcentral.
CCAGCAGCUGCGGUAAUUCCAGCUCCAAUAGCGUAUAUUAAAGUUGUUGCAGUUAAAAAGCUCGUAGUUGGAUUUCUGGUGGGGGUCGCUGGUCGGGCCCGAAAGGGUCUGUACCGAUGUGUACUUCCGCCAUCCUUGGGGAGAGCUAUUCUGGCAUUAAGUUGUCGGGGUAGGGAUCCUCAUCUUUUACUGUGAAAAAAUUAGAGUGUUCAAAGCAGGCUAAGGCCGUUGAAUACAUUAGCAUGGAAUAAUAAGAUAGGGCCUUGGUGGUCUAUUUUGUUGGUUUGCACGCCAGGGUAAUGAUUAAUAGGGAUAGUUGGGGGUAUUCGUAUUCAAUUGUCAGAGGUGAAAUUCUUGGAUUUAUGGAAGACGAACUACUGCGAAAGCAUUUACCAAGGAUGUUUUCAUUAAUCAAGAACGAAAGU